AGAGUUUGAUCAUGGCUCAGAUUGAACGCUGGCGGCAGGCCUAACACAUGCAAGUCGAGCGGUAGCACAGAGAGCUUGCUCUCGGGUGACGAGCGGCGGACGGGUGAGUAAUGUCUGGGAAACUGCCUGAUGGAGGGGGAUAACUACUGGAAACGGUAGCUAAUACCGCAUAAUGUCGCAAGACCAAAGUGGGGGACCUUCGGGCCUCAUGCCAUCAGAUGUGCCCAGAUGGGAUUAGCUAGUAGGUGGGGUAAUGGCUCACCUAGGCGACGAUCCCUAGCUGGUCUGAGAGGAUGACCAGCCACACUGGAACUGAGACACGGUCCAGACUCCUACGGGAGGCAGCAGUGGGGAAUAUUGCACAAUGGGCGCAAGCCUGAUGCAGCCAUGCCGCGUGUGUGAAGAAGGCCUUCGGGUUGUAAAGCACUUUCAGCGGGGAGGAAGGCGAUAAGGUUAAUAACCUUGUCGAUUGACGUUACCCGCAGAAGAAGCACCGGCUAACUCCGUGCCAGCAGCCGCGGUAAUACGGAGGGUGCAAGCGUUAAUCGGAAUUACUGGGCGUAAAGCGCACGCAGGCGGUCUGUCAAGUCGGAUGUGAAAUCCCCGGGCUCAACCUGGGAACUGCAUUCGAAACUGGCAGGCUAGAGUCUUGUAGAGGGGGGUAGAAUUCCAGGUGUAGCGGUGAAAUGCGUAGAGAUCUGGAGGAAUACCGGUGGCGAAGGCGGCCCCCUGGACAAAGACUGACGCUCAGGUGCGAAAGCGUGGGGAGCAAACAGGAUUAGAUACCCUGGUAGUCCACGCCGUAAACGAUGUCGAUUUGGAGGUUGUGCCCUUGAGGCGUGGCUUCCGGAGCUAACGCGUUAAAUCGACCGCCUGGGGAGUACGGCCGCAAGGUUAAAACUCAAAUGAAUUGACGGGGGCCCGCACAAGCGGUGGAGCAUGUGGUUUAAUUCGAUGCAACGCGAAGAACCUUACCUGGUCUUGACAUCCACAGAACUUUCCAGAGAUGGAUUGGUGCCUUCGGGAACUGUGAGACAGGUGCUGCAUGGCUGUCGUCAGCUCGUGUUGUGAAAUGUUGGGUUAAGUCCCGCAACGAGCGCAACCCUUAUCCUUUGUUGCCAGCGGUNCGAUUGACGUUACCCGCAGAAGAAGCACCGGCUAACUCCGUGCCAGCAGCCGCGGUAAUACGGAGGGUGCAAGCGUUAAUCGGAAUUACUGGGCGUAAAGCGCACGCAGGCGGUCUGUCAAGUCGGAUGUGAAAUCCCCGGGCUCAACCUGGGAACUGCAUUCGAAACUGGCAGGCUAGAGUCUUGUAGAGGGGGGUAGAAUUCCAGGUGUAGCGGUGAAAUGCGUAGAGAUCUGGAGGAAUACCGGUGGCGAAGGCGGCCCCCUGGACAAAGACUGACGCUCAGGUGCGAAAGCGUGGGGAGCAAACAGGAUUAGAUACCCUGGUAGUCCACGCCGUAAACGAUGUCGAUUUGGAGGUUGUGCCCUUGAGGCGUGGCUUCCGGAGCUAACGCGUUAAAUCGACCGCCUGGGGAGUACGGCCGCAAGGUUAAAACUCAAAUGAAUUGACGGGGGCCCGCACAAGCGGUGGAGCAUGUGGUUUAAUUCGAUGCAACGCGAAGAACCUUACCUGGUCUUGACAUCCACAGAACUUUCCAGAGAUGGAUUGGUGCCUUCGGGAACUGUGAGACAGGUGCUGCAUGGCUGUCGUCAGCUCGUGUUGUGAAAUGUUGGGUUAAGUCCCGCAACGAGCGCAACCCUUAUCCUUUGUUGCCAGCGGUNGGCCGGGAACUCAAAGGAGACUGCCAGUGAUAAACUGGAGGAAGGUGGGGAUGACGUCAAGUCAUCAUGGCCCUUACGACCAGGGCUACACACGUGCUACAAUGGCAUAUACAAAGAGAAGCGACCUCGCGAGAGCAAGCGGACCUCAUAAAGUAUGUCGUAGUCCGGAUUGGAGUCUGCAACUCGACUCCAUGAAGUCGGAAUCGCUAGUAAUCGUAGAUCAGAAUGCUACGGUGAAUACGUUCCCGGGCCUUGUACACACCGCCCGUCACACCAUGGGAGUGGGUUGCAAAAGAAGUAGGUAGCUUAACCUUCGGGAGGGCGCUUACCACUUUGUGAUUCAUGACUGGGGUGAAGUCGUAACAAGGUAACCGUAGGGGAACCUGCGGUUGGAUCACCU
Molecule: ribosomal RNA, 2188 nt
Filed under: Klebsiella pneumoniae
Lineage: Bacteria; Pseudomonadati; Pseudomonadota; Gammaproteobacteria; Enterobacterales; Enterobacteriaceae
Description: bacterial SSU rRNA
Rfam family: Bacterial small subunit ribosomal RNA (bases 928-2188)
Source: RNAcentral